Molecule: ribosomal RNA, 493 nt
Filed under: Fusarium oxysporum
Lineage: Eukaryota; Fungi; Ascomycota; Sordariomycetes; Hypocreales; Nectriaceae
Description: eukaryotic LSU rRNA
Rfam family: 5.8S ribosomal RNA (bases 125-278)
Source: RNAcentral
UGUGAACAUACCACUUGUUGCCUCGGCGGAUCAGCCCGCUCCCGGUAAAACGGGACGGCCCGCCAGAGGACCCCUAAACUCUGUUUCUAUAUGUAACUUCUGAGUAAAACCAUAAAUAAAUCAAAACUUUCAACAACGGAUCUCUUGGUUCUGGCAUCGAUGAAGAACGCAGCAAAAUGCGAUAAGUAAUGUGAAUUGCAGAAUUCAGUGAAUCAUCGAAUCUUUGAACGCACAUUGCGCCCGCCAGUAUUCUGGCGGGCAUGCCUGUUCGAGCGUCAUUUCAACCCUCAAGCACAGCUUGGUGUUGGGACUCGCGUUAAUUCGCGUUCCCCAAAUUGAUUGGCGGUCACGUCGAGCUUCCAUAGCGUAGUAGUAAAACCCUCGUUACUGGUAAUCGUCGCGGCCACGCCGUUAAACCCCAACUUCUGAAUGUUGACCUCGGAUCAGGUAGGAAUACCCGCUGAACUUAAGCAUAUCAAUAAGUCGGAGGAAA